AUGAGGACAAGAGUGGCAAGCAGCGUU
RNAcentral lists this non-coding RNA (27 nucleotides) under Cricetulus griseus (Chinese hamster). The record is from RNAcentral. Lineage: Eukaryota; Metazoa; Chordata; Mammalia; Rodentia; Cricetidae.